Non-coding RNA from Pseudonaja textilis, 149 nucleotides. The record is from RefSeq and is a predicted model, not a curated record. NCBI's taxonomy places the organism in Eukaryota, Metazoa, Chordata, Lepidosauria, Squamata, Elapidae.
UGCCUAUGGGAGAAUCCACACAUAUGGGACAUACCAAAGCUGGCAGUCCCUAUGGGCAGGAAGAAGUCUGGUCCUGUGAACCCGUCUGUAUGUACUUGUAGCACUCUUCUGCCGAAGGCUGCCUCUGCUAAAGCGGCCCACAGCAGAAG